RNAcentral lists this long non-coding RNA (303 nucleotides) under Fukomys damarensis (Damara mole-rat). RNAcentral's name for it is "lncRNA (ENSFDAG00000029135.1)". Lineage: Eukaryota; Metazoa; Chordata; Mammalia; Rodentia; Bathyergidae. The record is from RNAcentral.
ACCUUAAUUGUUCUUGUUAACCUCAUCCUCAGGCUCCUGCUUCCUGACCAAGGCCUGGUCAUCUCAACUCUGUCCUCAGCCAGUCUCCCGCUGCUGACUUCUGGCUAAUUGGUCUUUCUAUAAUACCACAUCCAGCUGAUCUCCCAGGAAGGGGACAAACAGGAAAAUCCUUACCAGUCCUCUGCACUGCUGUCCUGCAUAUGACAAGAGAACAUUAUGUUCCCCAGUCUCUCCAGAUACAAACUGACCCAGGAGAUAGAAACAUCUAGAAUACCAGUAUCAAUGAAGGUAUGACUCAGGCUA